CAGUAGCCGCGGGAAUACGAAGGGUGCAAGCGUUACUCGGAAUUACUGGGCGUAAAGCGUGCGUAGGUGGUGGUUUAAGUCCGUUGUGAAAGCCCUGGGCUCAACCUGGGAAUUGCAGUGGAUACUGGGUCACUAGAGUGUGGUAGAGGAUAGUGGAAUUUCCGGUGUAGCAGUGAAAUGCGUAGAGAUCGGAAGGAACAUCUGUGGCGAAGGCGACUAUCUGGGCCAUUACUGACACUGAGGCACGAAAGCGUGGGGAGCAAACAGGAUUAGAUACCCCAGUAGUCCCUGUCUCUUAUAA
RNAcentral lists this ribosomal RNA (301 nucleotides) under uncultured bacterium. RNAcentral's name for it is "partial 16S ribosomal RNA". It matches the Rfam family "Bacterial small subunit ribosomal RNA", at positions 509 to 809 of the family's 1533-position model. The record is from RNAcentral.